CCUACGGGGGGCUGCAGUGGGGAAUAUUGGACAAUGGGGGGAACCCUGAUCCAGCCAUGCCGCGUGUGUGAAGAAGGCCCUCGGGUUGUAAAGCACUUUCAGUGAGGAAGAACGCCUGGUGGUUAAUACCCAUCAGGAAAGACAUCACUCACAGAAGAAGCACCGGCUAACUCCGUGCCAGCAGCCGCGGUAAUACGGAGGGUGCGAGCGUUAAUCGGAAUUACUGGGCGUAAAGCGCGCGUAGGUGGCUUGAUAAGCCGGUUGUGAAAGCCCCGGGCUCAACCUGGGAACGGCAUCCGGAACUGUCAAGCUAGAGUGCAGGAGAGGAAGGUAGAAUUCCCGGUGUAGCGGUGACAUGCGUAGAGAUCGGGAGGAAUACCAGUGGCGAAGGCGGCCUUCUGGACUGAAACUGACACUGAGGUGCGAAAGCGUGGGUAGCAAACAGGAUUAGAUACCCUUGUAGUC
This 465-nucleotide ribosomal RNA is filed under the name Vreelandella stevensii. Its description in RNAcentral is "partial 16S ribosomal RNA". It matches the Rfam family "Bacterial small subunit ribosomal RNA", at positions 338 to 795 of the family's 1533-position model. Lineage: Bacteria; Pseudomonadati; Pseudomonadota; Gammaproteobacteria; Oceanospirillales; Halomonadaceae. The record is from RNAcentral.